Molecule: ribosomal RNA, 301 nt
Filed under: uncultured bacterium
Lineage: Bacteria
Description: partial 16S ribosomal RNA
Rfam family: Bacterial small subunit ribosomal RNA
Source: RNAcentral
CAGUCGCCGCGGUAAUACAGAGGGUGCGAGCGUUAAUCGGAUUUACUGGGCGUAAAGCGUGCGUAGGUGGCCAGUUAAGUCAAAUGUGAAAUCCCCGAGCUUAACUUGGGAAUUGCAUUCGAUACUGGUUGGCUAGAGUAUGAGAGAGGAUGGUAGAAUUCCAGGUGUAGCGGUGAAAUGCGUAGAGAUCUGGAGGAAUACCGAUGGCGAAGGCAGCCAUCUGGCCUAAUACUGACACUGAGGUACGAAAGCAUGGGGAGCAAACAGGAUUAGAUACCCCAGUAGUCCCUGUCUCUUAUAA